UACGAAGGGGGCUAGCGUUGCUCGGAAUCACUGGGCGGAAAGGGUGCGUAGGCGGGUCUUUAAGUCAGGGGUGAAAUCCUGGAGCUCAACUCCAGAACUGCCUUUGAUACUGAGGAUCUUGAGUAUGGGAGAGGUGAGUGGAACUGCGAGUGUAGAGGUGAAAUUCGUAGAUAUUCGCAAGAACACCAGUGGCGAAGGCGGCUCACUGGCCCAUUACUGACGCUGAGGUGCGAAAGCGUGGGGAGCAAACAGG
RNAcentral lists this ribosomal RNA (253 nucleotides) under uncultured bacterium. RNAcentral's name for it is "partial 16S ribosomal RNA". It matches the Rfam family "Bacterial small subunit ribosomal RNA", at positions 524 to 776 of the family's 1533-position model. The record is from RNAcentral.